Long non-coding RNA from Anopheles gambiae (African malaria mosquito), 2608 nucleotides. RefSeq lists it as uncharacterized. Lineage: Eukaryota; Metazoa; Arthropoda; Insecta; Diptera; Culicidae. The transcript has 2 exons. The record is from RefSeq and is a predicted model, not a curated record.
GGGGGGAACACCGCUGAAAAUUACUAUGUGGGAUUAGCACUGGAUGGGGAAGCAUAGAGUGAGCGAGAUAAAAAUGCCAUUUAUGGGAAUAUGCUUUACCCACACACUAAUUUGACGAAGAGUUGAUAUGGGUUUUACAACUCCACUGUUACGGGUAAAAGCUCCAGCUUUAAGGGGCAAACGUAAACGCAACAGUGUAAAAGGUUUUGCUGAGCGAGAUUGUUUGUCUAACAAAUUGUAGCGAUAAUUAAUCGGAAACACAAACCGUAUUCAUGACAGCAUACGAUUAUGUAACCGGUAACGGUGGUUGCUGGAUACGCGUAUUGUGAUAUAUUGUUGUCCCACCCCCCCCUUCCUCCCCCACAGACUACCCUCAUUACCAUAAUUGCCCUAAUUGGGUAGCAUAUGUUUCGAUGCUGGUCGAUAGCGAGCCCCACAGCGGCUAAGGGCUAAGGGAGAGCCAUAAAACAAGACACACUUUGUGUUGGCGAGGCGAGGCACGUGUUACCGUCGAAAAACAUAACCGAAUGGAUGCAGUGGAUGAAACAUGGAUUUUUUUAGGAGAAUUCUAAAAAUAUUUUAAUAACAAAAUAGCAAGGGAAAGUUUUGGUAUGAAUAUUUGGAACGUUUUGUGAUGCUUUUUUUUUAAAGCAAACUGCAUUGAACCCUUCAAGGGGCCUACAAUAAUACAAACUAUUCCACAACAGUAGUGCCUGUCAGGAACGAAACUUUUUCUUUCAAAUAAAAACGAACAGUCAAAGUAAAGGACUAAACAAAUCCAAUGCGUGCCCAACCGAAAGCAUCCAAAAGCCUCCCAACAAUGAACUUGUAAGUGAACCGAUCAAUGCCUCAAAAAUCUAGAGAAAAAAUACACCAAUAACGAAAGCUGAAAGAGCAGUGGGCAAAAAUAAAAAUAACAGCAUAUCGAACUCGUUUUCCCUAUUAAGCUUGCACAAAGCCACCGGUACGCUUCACCGGAUAGCGAGAUUUGAAUACCGGAUUGAGGCACGGUCGGCCACGGCGGCAUGAUACACUGGUGGGAUGAACACAAAAGUCGUUCGAGGUUUUGCUGAAGCAACACAGAGCAACAACUACAAAAAAAAAGAAUGGCAGGAAUGGAAGAAGGAAAAAAAAGCGCUCAGAACACAGCGUAGACAACGAAACCCGGAGUGGCUUGGUUAUUGUGAUCCAGAGGAUUUGUACCCGUCGAAUGUGCUGGCGUGGCGAAAGUCGCACGGUAACAAGCGAACGGUGUAAAAAAAAGAACAUUGAGUGGAGAAUGAUUUUUUCUAAAAAAAAACAUAGUAGGCAUAGAGACGAAACCUACAGGGAUGCAUCACACGGAAGUGAUACUUUUCGGGGAAGUUUGAAAGUCAAUUAACGAUCUAGUAGCCAAUCGGCUAGCUCGCGCUACAGAAAGGAUAAAGCUUGAAAGCUCGCGAUAGCCAUUUCGGACUUUUGCAUUUAAAGGAACAUAUUUUUAGGCUCUAAAUUGGUAAAUUGUAUAAUAGUGCUUUGAAAAUUAUUCCUAAAAGUCAUAAAAAAGGGGAAAAAGCGAAGGCCGCCAUUUUUGUGUCUAGUGUUGCUGUUGUCAAAAUUCUUUCUCUCCACCGGUAGCAGCCCCCAAGUGUUUCGAGGUCCAUGAUUCCGAGCACGUAGCAGUAUGAUUUUAUUAUUAUCAUUACCAUAAUAUAAUCGCUUUCCGUGAGUUAUUCGUGGCGUGCAAAAAAGUAAACAUCGAAAAGGAAUCAUGAGAAGUGGCUGGAACGGUUCGGUGGAGGGAUGGGGGGACAAAGAACGAGAAACCAAACAGGCGCAAAGAAGUGGCGCAGGCAAGCCUUUGUUGCGCAGGAGGAAAAUUUUAGGGCCGGAAAAUGGCACACUUUCGCACAAAAUUCUUUCGCCCCCAAAACUUAACUGAGGCUGUGCGGAUUUUCAAUCUGGCACGGUUGGAAAAUUAGAUUCAAUUCGUUUGCUGUUCGUUGCUGCGGCGGAAUCUGGUUCGUGUGAACAGACCCCCUCUCCCCGUCCCUUGUUACAAGACGUUGAGAGCAAACGGUAGACCAAGCAACAAAAAACGCACGCCGGAAAACUUCCCUUGCCAGCCUGUAGAGCCUGCCCGCUUUGGCACGAUCGGCACGAAGUCCUUCCGCGAAACGGUGGCUGCUGGAAGUUUACUUGUAAGCGGGUGCAAAACAGGAGCCGGAAAGUGAAAAGGAGAAUGAUAAAACUAUUACCAACCGAAAUCGGAAUUCGGUAGCAGCUGUUCAGAAAAUGCUGCCGAGCGAUGUGGUUGGCGAGGAAAGUUGGUUUGGGAUUAGUUUUGGAAUGGAAAAUGGAAAAUCCCUGCAGAGGCGUUAGAAGCCAAUUAUAAAUAUUGUUAGUAUAAAAGCGAAAGUGAGGGAUAAUUAUAAAAGCGAAUCGUUUGCGCAGAAAAAGGUGAAGCAAAAGCGAUACACACUUUCUCAAUAUAGCGAAUAAGAACAAUUUUUGACGACGGAUGACGUAAGUGUAAUAUAAAUUGUUAAAGUUGAGCAAAAAUAGUCGAAAAACAAGUAAAUAAUUGUACUGUUUAGACACACAAUAAAUCAACAAAGUGAUGUGGUCC